UGGGGAAUAUUGCACAAUGGGCGCAAGCCUGAUGCAGCGACGCCGCGUGAGGGAUGACGGCCUUCGGGUUGUAAACCUCUUUCAGUAGGGAAGAAGCGAAAGUGACGGUACCUGCAGAAGAAGCGCCGGCUAACUACGUGCCAGCAGCCGCGGUAAUACGUAGGGCGCAAGCGUUAUCCGGAAUUAUUGGGCGUAAAGAGCUCGUAGGCGGUUUGUCGCGUCUGCCGUGAAAGUCCGGGGCUCAACUCCGGAUCUGCGGUGGGUACGGGCAGACUAGAGUGAUGUAGGGGAGACUGGAAUUCCUGGUGUAGCGGUGAAAUGCGCAGAUAUCAGGAGGAACACCGAUGGCGAAGGCAGGUCUCUGGGCAUUAACUGACGCUGAGGAGCGAAAGCAUGGGGAGCGAACAGGAUUAGAUACCCUGGUAGUCCAUGCCGUAAACGUUGGGCACUAGGUGUGGGGGACAUUCCACGUUUUCCGCGCCGUAGCUAACGCAUUAAGUGCCCCGCCUGGGGAGUACGGCCGCAAGGCUAA
This 532-nucleotide ribosomal RNA is filed under the name uncultured Arthrobacter sp. Its description in RNAcentral is "bacterial SSU rRNA". It matches the Rfam family "Bacterial small subunit ribosomal RNA", at positions 355 to 897 of the family's 1533-position model. The record is from RNAcentral. Lineage: Bacteria; Bacillati; Actinomycetota; Actinomycetes; Micrococcales; Micrococcaceae.